AUGCCGUGAUGGGGACAUCUUCUUAGCAACUCCUUGAACCUCUCCCAAGAAUCAUAUAAAGAUUUACCAUCCAACUGAUAGAAAUUAUUGAUCUCCCAUCUCAAUUU
Molecule: small nucleolar RNA, 107 nt
Organism: Humulus lupulus (European hop)
Lineage: Eukaryota; Viridiplantae; Streptophyta; Magnoliopsida; Rosales; Cannabaceae
Source: RefSeq, a predicted model, not a curated record